Transfer RNA from Felis catus (domestic cat), 84 nucleotides. It matches the Rfam family "tRNA". Rfam says of the family: Transfer RNA (tRNA) molecules are approximately 80 nucleotides in length. The record is from Rfam. Lineage: Eukaryota; Metazoa; Chordata; Mammalia; Carnivora; Felidae.
GCCUGGGUGGCUCAGUUGGUUGAGCAUCCGACUUCAACUCAGGUCAUGAUCUCGCAGUUUGUGGGUUCGAGCCCGCAUCGGGCU